RNAcentral lists this long non-coding RNA (237 nucleotides) under Elaeis guineensis (African oil palm). RNAcentral's name for it is "long non-coding RNA (EGUI_LNC055570)". Lineage: Eukaryota; Viridiplantae; Streptophyta; Magnoliopsida; Arecales; Arecaceae. The record is from RNAcentral.
AGGUCGCCUGACUGGGGUCGCCCACCUCGAGGAAAAGAUCGUCGAGGUCCUAGGUCUCCAGGAAGCACUGGAAAAGGAGGGACAAACCUCAUCCGAUCUGAGGACCGCCUUGGAGGAGGAGAGAAAGAAGGUUGAGGUCGAGGUCUCCGAACUGAAGGUGCAGGUUUUUGAGUUGAAGGUGUAGGUUUUCGAGCUGAAAGCAUGGAUUUCAUCCCUGAUCUCAGAGGCAGGGGCCCG